ACACUGUACGUAGUUUGAUCAGUGGCUCAGAGCGAACGCUAGCGGCGAGCUUAACACAUGCAAGUCGAGCGGAGGGUUUCGGCCCUCAGCGGCGGACGGGUGAGUAACACGUAGGUUACGUGCCCUUUGGUGGGGAAUAACUUAGGGAAACCUGAGCUAAUACCGCAUAUGCCCGUUCGGGGUGAAAGUCUUCGGACGCCAGAGGAUCGGCCUGCGGCCCAUUAUUUAAUCCUUGUUGGUGGGGUAACGGCCUACCAAGGGUACGAUGGGUAGCUGGUCUGAGAGGAUGAUCAGCCACACUGGGACUGAGACACGGCCCAGACUCCUACGGGAGGCAGCAGUGGGGAAUAUUGGACAAUGGGGGAAACCCUGAUCCAGCUACGCCGCGUGGGUGAUGAAGGCCUUCGGGUUGUAAAGCCCUGUCGAGGGGGACGAAGUUCUGACGGUACCCCUCAAGAAAGCACCGGCUAACUCCGUG
This 478-nucleotide ribosomal RNA is filed under the name uncultured bacterium. RNAcentral describes it as "bacterial SSU rRNA". It matches the Rfam family "Bacterial small subunit ribosomal RNA", at positions 1 to 507 of the family's 1533-position model. The record is from RNAcentral.